This is a non-coding RNA of Pelobates cultripes (western spadefoot toad), 9892 nucleotides long. Lineage: Eukaryota; Metazoa; Chordata; Amphibia; Anura; Pelobatidae. The record is from the annotation of a GenBank genome assembly.
UUAUAUGCUUUUGCAGUUGCCAUUUUCUAAUAUAAUAUGUCUAUAACCUAAGACUGUGCAUGUCCAAGCCCAUGUUUAAAAAGGUUUUUACACAAUGCUAAAUUGUUACACAAUGCUAAAUUGUUCACUUGUAAAAAAGCAAUAUCUAAGUGUAGGCAAUUAUUUUGUUUACAACGUUAACAGAAGCCAAUCUAUUAGAGAAUCCAUGACUGGUUGCCGGUCAGAGAGAGCAAGAAUGGAAAAUACUGAAAUCCACCAAGUACACUGCGCAAAAUUAGAUAUUUUUUCCUUUACACAUGAGCUUGCACUCUAAUGGCAGUUUCUGUGCUGCUAACCACCUUGACUUGUUAUUUAAAUGUACAGUAGUAUUUGGUACAGAAAGCAGGUACAUUUUAUGUUAAAGGGUAUAGCAUUCAUUGGCAAUCAUAGCAUGUCUAUGAUUUUAGUUUUGUUUUAUAUAUGCUUUGAGGCUGAAUACUACAGCCUUGCUGCAUCCCAAGAGUGGGAGUUUGACAGGUUGAAACGUAAUCAUUUAAUGCUUUAAGGAAUAAGAGACGAUUUACUGAUUUCAUAUAUAUACCUCGAUGUUGUCUGUUGACUGGUGAUAGUAGCCCAGUUUCAUGUGGACUAGCAUCACCGAGAAUGUAUGGGAGGUAACUUGGGCAAAAAAAUAAUGGAUGUGAGUGGAUAUUUUAACAUUUAAUGACAUGACUUUGUAUCCACCACAACCACUAAACAAAAAAAGCAAUGUUGGCAAAAGGGUUCCAUGCAAUAUGACAACGCCAGUUCUACUUGUAAUGGUUCCAGUGGCUGGGUGGGGACUGUUGCUCGUAAAUUUAUUUCCCCAGUUCUUCAUCGUCUUUUUUAGGUCUGAGCUCUCUUAGCAGCUGCUAAGCACAAAUUUAUUCAACUGCAAUAUUAUCUGACCAUGAUGUCCUUCAUUACAGUGGGCCUUUGGGGAGCAAUGCUAGUAAACUGUAUUAUGACAACAUUAAAGUCUUUGAAUAAUACAAUUGAGCAAGUGAUGUUGGUAAUUUGUAUGUACUCAUACUAAAAUCCCAUAAAUUCGCUGCCAAAGUAUGUUAUUCCAAGCAGAACACAUUUGGCUCGUAUUGACAUAGCAUACAUCUUGCUGGGUCAGUGUGGCAGUCCCAUGACUUUUUACAAGUUAGAGUGCAAGAGAUUUAUCAUCAAGAGAUGAUGCAACGUUAGUGUCUUUGCACCGAUUCCAGAUGUUUUUCUUAAAAGAACAAAUCCUGAUCCUAACAUGGCCCUUAAAAUAAUACUGCGUCUGUUGCUUUAAAUGGGCACGUCGUGAAGAUAUUAAUGCAAGGUUGGCUGUUAUGACGUUGGCUCAGUUAAGGGCUAGAAUAAUAAGCUGUGACAGCUAUAGCAAAAGAUGUACAAACCUCCUGCUGUGGAUUUUCUUCUUUUUUUGUGUGUGUGGCUUUUUUGGCAGUAAUACAAAAUGGCUGAAAGAAAUUGUGUUUAGUAAAACCAUUUUAAACUAAUUAUCAUUAGUGAUCCAUUUCAUUUCCCCCGCAUUUUCAUAAGCUAUAAUAAAAAGCUACUGCAUGCUUUUUUAUUUUUUUUGCUGAAAGGGAAAAGAAGGAAUAUAGUUUAAAGAGGCAUUAAUAUUAACAUCUAAAUUAUUUUCAAUAUUAAAGUAAUUUAAAUAAUUAAUUUGAAUUAAUCCAAUCUUCUAAUAAAAUGUAAUUUUACAUUUAUAAGGUGUCUACCCCCGAAUCACCUAAAUGUACUGAAAGCUGUGCCAACUGUAAGUUAUCUGGCCUGGCAUGCUAAUUUUUUUAAUUUAUUUUUUAAAUACAUUUUACAGCCUGAUUUUGAACAGCCAAUAUACACUGACACGUACUGUAUGGUUUUUGUUCAUUAUAUAAUAGAAGAGGUGCGACUCAACAGAUUGGGACAUUUUGCAAAGACAGCAUUUAACUUACUUAUGUAUUUUCAUAUACCCACACUCUGAGCUGUGCUGUUACAGUGAGGGGAAAAAGUAUUUGAUCCCCUGCUGAUUUUAAACGUUUGCCCACUGACAAAGAAAUGAUCAGUCUAUAAUUUUAAUGUUAGGUGUAUUUUAACAGGGAGAGACAGAAUAACAAAAAAAAAAUCCAGAAAAACGCAUGUCAACAAAAGUUAUAAAUUGAUUUGUAUGUCAAUGAGUGAAAUAAGUAUUUGACCCCUUCAACUUAGUACUUGGUGGAAAAACCCUUAUUGGCAAUCACAGAGGUCAGGUGUUUCUUGUAGUUGGCCACCAGGUUUGCACACAUCUCAGGAGGGAUUUUGUCCCACUCCUCUUUGCAGAUCCUCUCCAAGUCAUUAAGGUUUUGAGGCUGACAUUUGGCAACUCGAACCUUCAGCUCCCUCCACAUAUUUUCUAUGGGAUUAAGGUCUGGAGACUGGCUAGGUCACUCCAGGACCUUAAUGUGCUUCCUUUUGAGACACUCCUUUGUUGCCUUUGCUGUGUGUUUUGGGUCAUUGUCAUGCUGGAAUACCGAUCCAAGACUCAUUUUCCAUGAGGAAAGGAGGUUCUCACCCAAGAUUUGACGGUACAUGGCUCUGUCUAUCAUCCUUUUGAUGCGGUGCAGUUUUUCUGUCCCCUUGGCAGAAAAACACCCACAAAGGAUAAUGUUUCCACCUCCAUGUUUGACGGUGGGAAUAGUGUUCUUGGCAUCACAGGCAGCAUUCCUCCUCCUCAAAACACAGCGAGUUGAGUUGAUGCCAAAGAGCUUGAUUUUGGUCUCAUCUGACCACAACACUUUCAUCCAAUUCUCCUCUGAAUCAUUCAGAUGUUCAUUGGCAAACUUCAGACGGGCCUGUACAUGUUCUUUCUUGAGCUGGGGGACCUUGCAGGCACUGCAGGAUUUCAGUCCUUCACGGCAUUGUGUGUUACCAAUUGCUUUCUUGGCGACUAUGGUCCCAGCUGCCUUGAGAUCAUAAACAAGUUCCUCCAGUGUAGUUCUGGGCUGAUUCCUCACCAUUCUCAUGAUCAUUGAAACUUCACAAGGUGAGAUCUUGCAUGGAGCACCAGACUGAGGGACACUGAUAGUUAUUUUGUGUUUCUUCCAUUUUGCGAAAAAUCGCACCAACUGUUGUCACCUUCUCACCAAGCUGCUUGGCUAUGGUCUUGAAGCCCAUUGUGUAGGUCUACAAUCUUAUCCCUGACAUCCUUGUACACCUCUUUGGUCUUGGCCAUGGUGGAGAGUUUGGAAUUUGAUUGAUUAAUUGCUUGCUUCUGUGGACAAGUGUCUUUUAUACAGGUAACGAGCUGAGAUAAGGAGCAUUCCCUUUUAGAGAGUGCUCCUAAUCUCAGCUCGUUACCUGUAUAAAAGACACGUGAGAGCCAGAAAUCUUGCUGAUUGAUAGGGAAUCAAAUAACUAUUUCACUACUUGACAUGCAAAUCAAUUUAUAACUUUUUUGACAUGCAUUUUUCUGGAUUUUUUUGUUUUGUUAUUCUGUCUCUUACUGUUAAAAUACUCCUACCGUUAAAAUUAUAGACUGAUCUUUUCUUUGUUAGUGGGUAAACAUUCAAAAUCAGCAGGGGAUCAAAUACUUUUUUCCCUUCACUGUAUAAAGGAGCAGGUGCAGUAAUUGCAGGAAAGGGAAAUACAGGUUAACAAUCAGAAAAUAUAAAUCCACACUUCUAACUCAAUCAAAUGCAUCCGCAACACAGUAGGCAUUCAGAUUCACUCUGUCUAGCUAAUUGUCCAUCUAUCCAUCCAUUCAUCCAUCCAUCCAUCAAUUUAUCCAUCCAUCAUGUUUAGUAUAUUUUUAUGAAAUACAAACAUAUUUGUAUAUAUUUAAUUUCUACUUGCUUUGAGAUCUACGUUCCUUUUUCUUGUUCAUAUUAUGAGAGGAAGCAGGCAGAGGAAGAAAGUGACAGUCACUGCACCAAAAGUGGAUUCAUUAAAAUGAAUAGCAUUUGCAGGUUGGGUAGCAUCUGCAGGUUGGGUAGCAUCAGCAGGUUGGAUAGCAUCUGUAGGUUACAUAGUUACAUAGUUACAUAGCUGAAAAGAGACUUGCGUCCAUUAAAUUCAGCCUUCCUCACAUAUGUUUUUGUUGUUGAUCCAUCGGUUGGGUAGCAUCUGUAGGUUGAGGGAAAGCCCAUGAAGAACAUUCAUCUGCUCAAAACAGAAUGAUAUUACCUACAGGUUAUAGCAACUAGUUCUCUGACCAAGGUUAGAAAUAGCACUGUGUAUAUACACACAAACAAGAAUGUAUUUGUUAGAUAGGUUUGUAUAUAUCUAUAUAUGUAAAAAAAGACUUGUGCACUGUGUCCUCACUUUGCUAGAUCAGCGGUUCAUGCUAAACUAACUUAUCAUGCUGCCGGUAAGUAUCAUGCUUACCUUAACACAUUCCUGAGCAAAAUCUUUCUCUUUAACAUGCUAUUUAUAAUUUAAAAAUAAUAACGUAAUUAUUAAAGUGUAAUUAUUGGUUAUAGAGCCUUCACAGGCAAUGGAACAUUCCUACAAUUUGCUCUACUUUUUGAGAUUUUCCCCCAAAUCAUUCUUUGUACUUAAGUCCAGUCCUAUCUGUGGAGUUCUAAGCGCAGUCCACGUGAUAAAAAUUCUCCCAGUAACGUAUUGACAUUAACCACACUGUAUAGAAGUGCUAAAUGGAAAACAUAUUUUAAGUACCGUAAAUGCUUUAUGGUGAAUUUUAACUGCACUAUAUACAUCACUGUCAGUCUACUAUUAGUAGCAAAAGAACAGCGAUGGCAGUUUAAUGAGAAAUAUCAUUCACUGGAUUCCAGUUUAGAAAACACAUAAGCAGCAAUAAACAGAGCAUGCAAAAGGAUAACUUUGACAUGUUUUAAAUAUUAUCAGCAAAUCAGGAAUUUCAGUUGAUACAUCUUUCAUUCCAAUAGGCAAACAUUGUAUGAAAUGAAGUGUCAAUAGAUCAUGAUGCACAGAGCUCCCUGUUACUGUGUCAUUUCACCUAAUGACUUGGAAACGUUGCGGCGUCCAAAAAACUGUCCCAUGGGUUAGUGAUGUUAAAGAGUGAAUGUUACUUUCUCUGCUGUCCAGGAUCUGUCCAGUUUGCACAUGCACUUUGGGCAGACACAUGUAGAGCACACAUUUCCCUCCUUUCUCCUGCUCUGGUGGUAGGCCGAGCUAUUCCUGUACGCAAGUAGCCUAUUAGCAGAACACUGCAGGCAGCCUGGUUCAAUGUGUGCAGAGCAGCAUGGCUGCCGCAUAGCUGCUAACAGUUUAUUGUGAUUAUUAACCUCUACUUUUUUAAUGGAAAAAGAGAAAAAUCUUAGACUAAAAAGAGAGGCUCCUGACCAGGAAAGCCUAUUAUUGAUAUGGUGGUUGCCGGACGGGGCAUUUUCACUUUGAAAGUGCAAAAGCUUCAGAAAUAUUGAAUGUAUUUUUCACUUUUUUACAUUUUUUUUUUUAUUUAUGCUUUUAUAUAAUUUUUUUCCCUUUAAAUUAAACUUCUGUCACACUACAUCUAACUCCUGGAAAUCUACCCCAUUGGGCAGUUAGUAGUCUUUAAUAUGUUUUGCCAAUCUCUGCUACCUGAUAUGCAUACCCAUAAUACUUACCAACAGAGAGCGAAAACAUAUUUUGAUUGGUUGCUCAUUUUCUAUUUAAAAAAAAAAAGUUCUUUAUUUACAAAAAGGUGUGUAUGUUGAGAUCCACACGUGUAUGACAAGGUCCGUUUCUGAUAAGCAAUAAAAUAUAAGGUACUAGUUAAUUAUAGUCCCACCAGUCAGGGCAACCAUUAUCAUUGUCAUAACAAGUGACUGGUAUUCUCAUAUUCUUAUAAUUAACAGACGUCAAAGAUAAUCUCCAGAGUGUGCUAUUUUAAUUGUACCUACAUCAAUUCAAUUCUGCUUUUAUAUAAUCAUUUCUUCCUUGGCUUCUAACAUAAUUUAUGUGUGCCUUGCUCACUCCCAUAAGGCACUUGGCUUGAAUCCAGAAAAUCAAGGCAAAUAGAAUUUUUGCAUUUUUUCACUAAGCCUCAUCGAGCCCACUGCUGUGGUAUAUAUGUCUGUAUUGUAUAUUGCAAUUUCAACAGAAUACAGGUCUAAACUCUUAUUUGUAGCAAACACAAACAUGUCAAAAUGUUGCUAUAGCAAUUUGCAUUAUAUAAUUUCUUACAUUCAAAAGAUGCAUUAGUAAAUCUCUAGAAAACUUGACCUGUAUAACACUGUUAUAUUUACACAAAGAACUCAAGCUAACAAAAACAUGAAAAAAAUAGCAAUUAAUUGACGUCUGAGAAAUCAGUUGCCUUCAUUGGCUAAAUGCAUUAUUGUAAUUGUUCUUGGAUAUUAUGAGAACUCUGCAGUUGAUUAUUAUUGUAAGUCAUACAAGGUCAAUGAACAUAUGAAGGUUAUUCAGAUUAUUUGAUUAACUUUGCAAUAAAUUCCUUACAUACAAUCCAUUGUUGUGUUUCUCUUGGUUAAAGGGGAGCUGUCACUGCCCAGAUUUUUAUAAUAGAGUGUUUACUAAUCCCCUAUAUUUAACUACUAUAUGUAUAUAAGGUCUGAAAUAAAAUUAAAUUUAGAAAUCCAUGCCACUAUAUGUAGAUGUAUUUAGGAAAGAUUAAAAAAAAAAAAAAAGGUCCAGGUAUUUCAAACCGCAGCAAGACAAAUUUAAUUAAACCAAGUACACAGCAAUGUUUUGACCCUAUAAUUGGUCUUUGUCAAGCUUGUAGUUUUGAAAUGUGGUGUGUACUUGGUUCCCCUACAAUGUGUCUUUGUCAAGCUUGACAAAGACCCAUUGUGGGGUCAAAAAGUUGCUGUGUACUUAGUUCCCUUACAAUGAGUCUUUGUCAAGCUUGAUGAAGACCCAUUGUAGACUUGAUACAUUGCUAUGUACUUGGUUCCCCUACAGUUGGUCUUUGCAAAGCUUGAUGAAGACCCAGUGUAGUUUUGAAACAUGGCGUGUACUUGGUUCCCCUACAAUGGGUAUUUGUCAAGCUUGACAAAGACCCAUUGUGGGGUCGAAACAUUGCUGUGUACUUAGUUCCCUUACAAUGGGCCUUUGUCAAGCUUGAUGACGACCCAUUGUAGUUUUGAAACGUGGUGUGUACUUGGUUCCUCUACAAUGGGUAUUUGUCAACCUUGGCAAAGACCCAUUGUAGGGUUGAAAUGUUGCUCUGUACUUGGUUCCAAUAUAUUUGCCUUACUGAGCUUUGGAGUGCCUGGACCUUUUUUUUCUCUUUCCUGAAUACAAUAUUGUGUGGGGAUUAUGCUAGUCUCUGGUUUGGUUACACUCAAUUGUUGCUUUUUUGAAUGAGUGCAGUUCCUUAAUUUUUCUUAUUGUAUUUAAGUAUGUCCUGGACAUAAGCAGCUCCAUCUUGGCUCCCUGUCAAUUUUUAUAAUUUCUCUUCUCUGCAUAUGUCAGUUAGUACAGAGAAAGGAGGUGUCUACUAGACUGCACAAACAAAUUGUGAUUUGUCCAGAUUUUGGGCUAACAGUGAGUCCGAACUCCAAAACACCAAAUCACAAAACAAUCAAAAUGAGUAAUGAACGAGUCAUUUGGUUUGUUUUGUGAUUCAGAGUUCUGUCCAUGGUGGAAUUUGUUUCUUUUAAAAUUGAUUGAUGGAAAAAAGAUGACUGAUGACUAGAGGAUAGCCACUAAGUGUUGAUUUUAUUCACAGAUUAAGUGAGAGGUGAUGAACAGAACGAAACAAAAAAGCAGGAGUAGUAAAAAAAAAAUCGGCAUUUUAAAAUUUCAUAAAAAUAUAAUGUAUAAAUAUAGAUUUUUUUAUUUUACUGAUUCUCCUCUUUUGUUUUCUUUAUGCGUUACUUCUUCUUACUUGAACUGUGAACCAAAUGGAGCAAAAAUGCUGCAAAAUAUAGACAAACUACUUACAUUUUGCAGUAAACUGAUUGACCAACUUUUGCACACUUUUGGUUUGUCCAAAAUUGCUUUCCCAAAACAAUACAACAGGUGCACUAGAUAUGCCUGGACUGAACUGGAUUUUGAUGUAAUUUGCUCAAUCUUUAAAAUACAUUUAAAGACAACAGAGCAUAACAUGAGCGAAAAAAAGUAAAAAAAAAAAAUGGGAAAAAAGUUAAUAGAAGUUGUAGGUGAUUUUAAAUGUUUUAUUUGAUGGUGUGAGUUCAAGAAUAGUGACGGUUCCCCUUAAACUCUUAAAAAAUUUCAUGUGAACAUUGAUCACACUUAAAUUAUAUUCACCCCAAAUCGUGAAAUAUCUGGAACAUAGCAGGUGUCUUCAAAAGCAAUGUAUUAAUAUUUAAAUGACAUGCAUUUGCAUUUGUACAUAGUAAUGUAUAUGCCUUGACGUACACACAGAGACCAGUCAAACUGACAUUUCUUUUAUUCUCUAUCAAAUAGAUACAGUUUGCAUGAUCAUUUUAUUUAUAUUGAUAUUAUAAGCAAAUAUCUGCAAAAGAAACUUGAUGUACUGUGAAGGACAUAAUCCGAUAAAGCUUUUUUUUUUUCAUUUAUUAUCUCAUCAGAAUGUGGUGCUGUAAAAAAAAGAAAAAAGAAAAAAAAAGUGUAGACAAAUUUCUAAACCUGUAUAAUUGAUAUUAUGUUUUUAUAUACUAUAUGAGGACAAUUAUUAAAUUAAUGAUAGUUAAUUACAUAUGUAUGUUAAAAGAAAACUCUUUCAAUAAAAAUUUAUUUUGUGUUUUCUUUCUAAUGUUCAAUUGUUUAAAAUGUUUACGAACUGUAAGCCUAUUAUAUCAUUUCUAUAAUCUUGAUUGUUUAAUGUAUACUCUAUAAAAGUGGAUGAUAUAAUUGUAUAUUUGAUGACUUGUAAAUAUAUCUCUGGAUACUUCUUGCCCUUCUGAAUAUUUAAAGUGAUAAACCGUUAGAAUCUCUGGUGUAUAUUCACAUUCACCAGCAAUAAAUUGCUUCAAUGUUUGUGGCUGUUUACUGGAAAUUGAAGACAUCUGAGCUUUGGGGCCUGAUAAUGAAACAACAGAGAAAAUAUCAAAAGGAUGGUUCAGUGACAAAGGAAUCAUCCGGGGGUUGUUACAUAGUAACUCACACAUUAAAAAGAUUACAGAACACACUAAAUCACUUUUCACAACCCGUAUCCAUACUUAUAUAUAAAUGCUACCCUAGUACUGCCCAUUCUUAAGAUAUCCUUAAAAAGACACUGCAGUUUAGGAGUUAUACUGCCAAUAAAAACAUGAAUGCAUUUAACUGUGCAUUAUUUGAUUAAGGGUAUAUCUAGAACAGCUUGCAAAUGCUUCAGAUCUCUUUUCUGCAACAUUUGCAAGUCCUCUUCUAGCCCAGCUCAGACGUUCUGUGGCUGUUCAAUUACAGACCUACCAAUGCAGUGCAAUAAGAAGCCUUUGUAAGGCAGGUGCUCUGGGCUAUUGCUGACUCUUGAGCUCUUGAGUUUAGCUCUACUGAGCUAAGCAUCCAGGAAGUAAAAUGACCAGUUGCCCAAUUGACAGCCAAGAGGGUGUAACAAAGAUAAUUUAUAAUAGUGCCAAUUUAUACUGAACAAAAGUAAACACACUCUUCACACAUAAUGUACUUCAGUAAGCUGAAGUGCUUUAGGGGUUGGGAGAGUCCUUUUAACCACAAAUUUGCAGAUUAUGCUUUUGAGAUGGGAUGGUAUUUGUAGUUAUAUAAAAUAUACCUAGUCCCAGAUCUACAAUUGUAUUAAUUCCAUUUAGAAAAAUUGUUCUGAUAUAGUUAUCUAUUAGGAGGCUAGAGAAUUCUGAAUUGAAUUUGAGGGACUUGCAACCUAAAUGUGUUACUAAAUAACUAUAAUCCCUGUUCCCCAUCAUGUGCUAAUAGGAGUGGCUUAGUGUUGUACAGAGUACGUCAACCAAUCCACUGCUCUCUCCUACCACUGUGUAUAGUAAAGGUUACAAUAAAUAGAAAUUUUAACAAAAACUCAUCCGAUUUAACAAAACUUAAAAAAAAACAAAAAAAC